Molecule: ribosomal RNA, 730 nt
Filed under: uncultured bacterium
Lineage: Bacteria
Description: bacterial SSU rRNA
Rfam family: Bacterial small subunit ribosomal RNA
Source: RNAcentral
GAUGAACGCUAGCUACCCGUUUAACACAUGCAAGUCGAGGGGCAGCAUGGUCUUAGCUUGCUAAGGCCGAUGGCGACCGGCGCACGGGUGAGUAACACGUAUCCAACCUGCCGUCUACUCUUGGACAGCCUUCUGAAAGGAAGAUUAAUACAAGAUGGCAUCAUGAGUCCGCAUGUUCACAUGAUUAAAGGUAUUCCGGUAGACGAUGGGGAUGCGUUCCAUUAGAUAGUAGGCGGGGUAACGGCCCACCUAGUCUUCGAUGGAUAGGGGUUCUGAGAGGAAGGUCCCCCACAUUGGAACUGAGACACGGUCCAAACUCCUACGGGAGGCAGCAGUGAGGAAUAUUGGUCAAUGGGCGAGAGCCUGAACCAGCCAAGUAGCGUGAAGGAUGACUGCCCUAUGGGUUGUAAACUUCUUUUAUAAAGGAAUAAAGUCGGGUAUGCAUACCCGUUUGCAUGUACUUUAUGAAUAAGGAUCGGCUAACUCCGUGCCAGCAGCCGCGGUAAUACGGAGGAUCCGAGCGUUAUCCGGAUUUAUUGGGUUUAAAGGGAGCGUAGAUGGAUGUUUAAGUCAGUUGUGAAAGUUUGCGGCUCAACCGUGAAAUUGCAGUUGAUACUGGAUAUCUUGAGUGCAGUUGAGGCAGGCGGAAUUCGUGGUGUAGCGGUGAAAUGCUUAGAUAUCACGAAGAACUCCGAUUGCGAAGGCAGCCUGCUAAGCUGCAACUGACAUU